GAUGAACGCUGGCGGCGUGCCUAAUACAUGCAAGUCGAGCGAACAGACGAGGAGCUUGCUCCUCUGACGUUAGCGGCGGACGGGUGAGUAACACGUGGAUAACCUACCUAUAAGACUGGGAUAACUUCGGGAAACCGGAGCUAAUACCGGAUAAUAUAUUGAACCGCAUGGUUCAAUAGUGAAAGACGGUUUUGCUGUCACUUAUGGAUGGAUCCGCGCCGCAUUAGCUAGUUGGUAAGGUAACGGCUUACCAAGGCAACGAUGCGUAGCCGACCUGAGAGGGUGGUCGGCCACACUGGAACUGAGACACGGUCCAGACUCCUACGGGAGGCAGCAGUAGGGAAUCUUCCGCAAAGGGCGAAAGCUUGACGGAGCAACGCCGCGUGAGUGAUGAAGGUCUUCGGAUCGUAAAACUCUGUUAUUAGGGAAGAACAAAUGUGUAAGUAACUAUGCACGUCUUGACGGUACCUAAUCAGAAAGCCACGGCUAACUACGUG
Molecule: ribosomal RNA, 497 nt
Filed under: uncultured bacterium
Lineage: Bacteria
Description: partial 16S ribosomal RNA
Rfam family: Bacterial small subunit ribosomal RNA
Source: RNAcentral